GACGAACGCUGGCGGCGUGCUUAACACAUGCCAGUCGAACGGAAAGGCCCUGCUUGCAGGGUACUCGAGUGGCGAACGGGUGAGUAACACGUGGGUGAUCUGCCCUGCACUUCGGGAUAAGCCUGGGAAACUGGGUCUAAUACCGGAUAGGAGCCAUUUUUAGUGUGAUGGUUGGAAAGUUUUUUCGGUGUAGGAUGAGCUCGCGGCCUAUCAGCUUGUUGGUGGGGUAAUGGCCUACCAAGGCGGCGACGGGUAGCCGGCCUGAGAGGGUGGACGGCCACAUUGGGACUGAGAUACGGCCCAGACUCCUACGGGAGGCAGCAGUGGGGAAUAUUGCACAAUGGGCGCAAGACUGAUGCAGCGACGCCGCGUGGGGGAUGACGGCCUUCGGGUUGUAAACUCCUUUCGCUAGGGACGAAGCUUUUUGUGACGGUACCUAGAGAAGAAGCACCGGCUAACUACGUG
Molecule: ribosomal RNA, 465 nt
Filed under: uncultured bacterium
Lineage: Bacteria
Description: partial 16S ribosomal RNA
Rfam family: Bacterial small subunit ribosomal RNA
Source: RNAcentral